Molecule: ribosomal RNA, 1419 nt
Filed under: uncultured Bordetella sp.
Lineage: Bacteria; Pseudomonadati; Pseudomonadota; Betaproteobacteria; Burkholderiales; Alcaligenaceae
Description: partial 16S-23S ribosomal RNA intergenic spacer
Rfam family: Bacterial small subunit ribosomal RNA
Source: RNAcentral
GGUUUGAUCAUGGUUCAGAUUGAACGCUGGCAGGAUGUCUUUACACAUGCAAGUCGAACGGCAGCACGGACUUCGGUCUGGUGGCGAGUAGCGAACAGGUGAGUAAUGUAUCGGAACGUGCCUAGUAGCGGAGGAUAACCGCGAAAGCGCUAAUACCGCAUACGCCCUUCAGGGAAAGCAGGGGACCUUCGGGCCUCGCACUAUUAGAGCGGCCGAUAUCGGAUUAGCUAGUUAUUGGUGGGGUAACGGCUCACCAAGGCGACGAUCAUGGCGUUUGAGAGGGACGACCAGCCACGCAGGACGAGGCGGGCCAGACUCCUACGGGAGGCAGCAGUGGGGAAUUUUGGACAAUGGGGAAACCCUGAUCAGCCAUCCCGCUGUGCGUCAAAGCUGGGUUGUAAAGCCGCACGAGAAAAGCAGCACGGGAUAAUACCCCGUGCCCAACAAUGUUCACCAGAAUAACUUUCAGCUAACAGCUAGCCAUGAUGUGUGAAGUCCCUAAGCGUUAAUCGGUCCCUGGGCGUAAAGCGACACCGACGGACAGAAGGUCUGAAAUCCCAGGCUUAACUUUGGAACUGCAUUUAACUACCGAGCUAGAGUGUGUCAGAGGAGGUGGAAUUCCAUGUAGCAGUGAAAGUAGUAGAUAUGCAGGAAGACACCAUUGGCGAAGGCGGCAUUUCUGGGACCAACACUGACGCUCGUAAAAGCGUGGAGCAAACAGGAUUAGAUGCCUGGUACGAUUCCGCCUAAACAUGUCAACUAGCUGUUUCGGACGCUAAGAUGGUGACGCAGCUAACGCGUGAAGUUGACCGCCUGGGGAGUACGGUCUUGAGUUCCGACUCCAAAAAAUUGUGGGGACCACUGGCGGAGCUGGAUGAUGUGGAUUAAUUCGAUGCAACGCAGCCUUACCCUGCCCAUGACAUGUCUGGAAUCCCGAAGAUUUGGGGUAUAUAGAGAACCGGAACACAGGUGCUGCAUGGUAUCGUCAGCUCGUGUCGUGAGAUGUUGGGUUCAAGUCCCACAACGAGCACAGCCCAUCAUUAGUUGCUACGAAGGCACUCAUGAGACUGCCGGUGGUCGACAAACCGGAGGAAGGUGGGGAUGACGUCAAGUCCUCAUCAGCCCGCCUGGUGGGGCUUCACGUCAUACAAUGGUCGGGACAGAGGUCACCAGCCAUGAGGGGGAACCAAUCCCAGAAACGAUCGUAGUCGGAUCCAUGAUCUGCAACUCGAACUGCGUGAAGUCGAGUCGCUAGUAAUCGCGAGUCAGCAUGUCGCGGUGAAUGCAUUUCCCGGGUCUUGUACACACCGCCCGUCACACCAUGGGAGUGGGUUUUACCGGAAAGUAGUUAGCCUAACCCGUAAGGAGGGCGAUUACCACGGUAAGUUGAAGAGCUGGGGUGAAGUCGUAACAAGGUAA